UCGCAGUCCUUUUCCCUGGCAGCACCAUUGGGAUGGUAGUCCGAGCUCGUGAAACCAAGCAAGCCGCUCAUGUAUCCAACCAUGCUGUCCCAUUCCCAUGCGGAACUUGGAGAAGAGGCUGGUAAGUUGUUCUCGGAGUUUGACGAUUGCGAGAGCAUUGACGCCGUUGUGUGGAGCAGGACUUGGAGAGGGGCUGUCGGAGAUGCUAGCCUGGAAACGUAGGCGUUCUCGCUUUCUCUCCACAGAAGCAGCAGCAGGAGCACCAACACCGCAUCAACUUCCAGCCGUUUUCUAUCCGCGGAGAGCUUGACGGACAACGUUGAGGCGAGGUGGUCGAGAAUGUUGUUGGAGAAGAAAUAGCUGGUGAUGGGAUUGGAGUUUACGUUGUCCGUGGCUGUUAAGAUGGUCAAGCACAGCCUGCAAGGAUUCCACUCGGAUCAAACUCUCGAGAAGGAAAAAAGUUCACGUACCUUAGCCCGAGGGACUUCACAAGAACUGGAACAUUGUCUCUCGCCAGAAGAGUUCCAACGCUGGAGAUCAAUCGUCGAAAAAACGUGUCUGCGUUAUCUGGCGAGCCAGCAAGCAACAAUGUAAUGGUCACACCCUGCGAAGAAACGUAAAUCUCGAUGGAAAUCUUCCUCACUCAAUCGCUCACCUGUUGGCUGAAUCGCUUUCGAAAAAUCUCUCUGGUGAGAACCGCGAGGCUCUCCAGCGCGUGAGCGACUCGGAUAAAAUUCUCAUCGCUUAGAUACCUGUGAAGCAAAAGAAGAAGAUUUCUAUACUCCUCGAUCGACGAACUCAACUCACAACUCACUCACGUCACGCAAGCUGCAAAGAUUUCGUUGAUAAUCGGCUUUAAUCCAUGCCGGAGCUCCUCCUCCGUCCUGCUCGAGACGCAUUGCGCCAGGAAUUCCUGGUUCACCUAACAAGAAUGCAAAUUCUAGACAAUGCGGGCGAUCUAGGAGCUACCUUGAGCAAGAGGAGCUCGUCCCAGAAUCUGGUUAGGGCAGUGCGGCCCUGGAUUCCUCGAUCCCGCGCGAAUUGGAUCGGGCUCCUCCCGGAGAAGAUCUCCUCGCACAGCGACACAUACUUCUCCUUGAACGAUUUCUCUGGAGUAAUUCGGGGUAGCAUCCCUGGCAAAGCGUGGGAA
Molecule: long non-coding RNA, 1150 nt
Filed under: Selaginella moellendorffii
Lineage: Eukaryota; Viridiplantae; Streptophyta; Lycopodiopsida; Selaginellales; Selaginellaceae
Description: long non-coding RNA (SMOE_LNC001832)
Source: RNAcentral